GGGCGGUGACCGUCAGGGGAGGAAGGAGCAUGCGCAGAAGUGAGAGCGCUCGCCUUAGUUGGCGCGAGGCUGCCUGCCACCAAGGGAAUCAUGAAUUUCCCUCCGAUCUUAGGAGCUCUGCCGCUCUCUUCCUCUCUCCGGACAAACCGCAGGAGAGAGGUUUUACCCUUUCGAAUCACGGACAAGGCUUGUCAGACACAUAUGUAUAUUUGCACCCUCGGAAGCUGCCUUGAGGGCUCAGCAGGGUGCUUGGCGUUUCCUUUUGACAUAUCAGGUCAUUUGUUUAUCUAUAAUCCGCUCAGCAAUUCAUUGUUCUUGGCUCAGCCCGCCUCCUCGCCUCUGAUUGGCAAAGAAACGGAAGCGACAGGAGCUCUCUGAUUGGACGAGAGUUCGCACUGUUCCCUCGGAGACCAAUCAGCGCACAGGUGGGCGGGAACUUCAAAUCGCGCCUCUCUGUUUUCUGUAUUAUAAAAGUUGAUGUUCUGUGUUGCAUGAUAUGGCUUCCUGACUAACAAUCGCGGGUGUCAUCCUUUUCAGCUGAACUGAAUAAAUCAACAACUCGGUGCUCUUUCUUCACGUCUGCGGGUGAGAUCAUUGGGAGUGGGAAACCUUGAUCUUUAGCGACUCCCCCUUGCCAGGAUCGCCGGACCUGAGCCGGGGAGAAGCUAGGGUUUCCUCCCCAAGGAAGGGAACCCCCAAAUUCUAGCCCGAUAUCAAAGUGACAUAUCUGCCUACUCAGUCUGAACAUGUUUUAAUAUUUGUGUUCUAAACUCUCUCCACCUAUGUAGUCGACAGAAUUGUGCCUGGUGGUUGACUGAUAUUAUUAACUGUUAUAAUGCUCCUGUGCUAUAUUGUAUUCUUGUUUUUAUCUUUUAUACUAUGAAUUGUAUUUAUGUUGCUGUUUCUCUGUUUUAUUAUGUUGGUUGGGCUUCAGCCCAUGUAAGCCGCCCCGAGUCUCCGCGGGGAGAUGGUGGCAGGGUAUAAAUAAAGUUUUUUAAUUUUAUUAUUAGGUAUUUUAAUAAACUAUUUUAAUCAUAGUGUAUAUUAUAUGGGUGAUUUGACUGCCUUGAGCUGUAAGGAGAGAUUGAUAAAAAAUAAGUUGUUGUUAAUCAGGCCCUACGAUUUGAUGGGCAAAUUUAAGGACACCAUUCCAUCUUCUUCUGUUUAGCUUUGAAUUAAACAGUUCCUCAAUCAGAGAGCUAUCUUCUAACACCCUUGCAACAAAUCAAGGGUAGUUUUCCAUAAAAUACACCUGGUGACUCUGAUGACAACAUAAGUCCCAGUUUGCUUUGAGUUUUCCGGGCUAUAUAGCCAUAUUCCAGAAGCAUUCUCCCCAGAUGUUUUGCCCACAUCUAUGGCAGGCAUCCUCGGAGGUUGUGAGGUCUGUUGGAAACUAGGUACAGUAGAGUCUCACUUAUCCAACAUAAACGGGCCGGCAGAAUGUUGGAUAAGCGAAUAUGUUGGAUAAUAAGGAGGCAUUAAGGAAAAGCCUAUUAAACAUCAAAUUACGUUAUGAUUUUACAAAUUAAGCACCAAAACAUCAGGUUAUACAACAAAUUAGGCAGAAAAGGUAGAAAUGUUAUGUAGUAAUUACUGUAUUUAUGAAUUUAGCACCAAAAUAUCACGAUGUAUUGAAAACAUUGACUACAAAAAAAAGUUGGAUAGUCCAGAAUGUUGGAUAAGCGAGUUUUGGAUAAGUGAGACUCUGCUGUAAUUGGGUUUAUAUAUCUAUGGAAAGUCCAGGGUGGGAGAAAGAACUUUUGUCUGUUGGAGGCAAGUAUAAAUGUUGCAAUUGGCCACCUUGGUUAGCAUUGAAAAGCCUGCAGCUUCAAAGCUUGGCUGCUUCCUGUCUGGGGAAAUCCUUUGUUAGGAAGUGUUAGCUGGCCUUGAUUGUUUCCUGUCUGGAAUUCCCCUUUUUUGAGUGUUGUUCUUUAUUUACUGUCCCGAUUUUAGAGUUUUUCUUAAUAUCGGUAGCCAUAUUUUAUUCAUUUUCAUGGUUUCCACCUUUCUGCUGAAAUUGUCCACAUGCUUGUGGAUUUCAAUGGCUUCUCUGUAUAGUCUGACAUGGUAGUUGUUAGAGUGGUCUAACAUUUCUGUGUUCUCAAAUAAUAUGCUGUGUCCAGGUUGUGCUCAGCUAUGGCUGACUUCUCUGGUUGAAUUAGUCUGAAGUGCCUUUCAUGUUCCUUGAGUCGUAUUUGGGCAUUGCGUUUGGUGGUCCCUUGUCCACAGCUGCAUAGUAUAUGGUAGACUCCUGCAGAGAUGAGAGGAUCUCUCUUGUUCUUUGCUGAAUGUGGCAUAUGUUGGAUUUUCUUAAUGGGUCUGUAGAUAGUUUGUAUGUUGUGUUUCUUCAUCAAGUUCCCUAUGCGGCCAGUGGUUCCUUUGAUGUAUGAUAAGAAUACUUUUCCUCUGGGUGGGUUCUAUUUAUUUCACUGAGUCUAAGUAUCAAAGUAAUCUAGAUCCAGCCCACUGCAUGUAAUUUUCUUAGAGCAAAUGUUUCCUGUUCAACAAUGCAGAUUUUUUAGAAAACUCUCCAGUCCUAUGAUAGAGGAGGUUAGCCACAGCGCAUGGCAUUUCCUUCGGUGUCGAGGAAUGUUCUUUACUUCUGUCCCUGUACUGUACUCCUUGUGAAGAGCCUAAUAAUAAUAAUAAUAAUAAUAAUAAUAAUAAUAAUAAUAAUAAUAAAACUUAAUGUAUACCACGCCACCAUCUCCCCACGGGGACUCAGGGUGGCUCACAUGGGGCAAAGCCCAACUAGCACAAUUUACAAAGACAACAGCAUAAAUACAUUGAACAAUAUACAAAAAAAAACAGUAAGACAAUAAAACAAGAGUUAAUACAGCAGUAAAUCAAUCAACCACCAAGUACAAUUCAGUCGACUUCAUUGGUGGUGGUGGGGGGGGGGGGACUGCAGCAGCAAUAUAAAAAUAACAUCAUCAGUUAAAAUACCAGAAUAAAAGGGACCUAAUAAAAUUCAGGAUAGAGUUAUAAUGCCAACUGAGGCUGGUCAUCCAGUGACUGUCUCACCAAAGGCCAACCUAAACAUCCAGGUCUUCAGCUGUUUCUUGAAGGAGGAUAGAGAGGGUGCCAACCUAAUCUCCCUGGGGAGGGAGUUCCAGAGCCGGGGGGCCACGGCCGAGAAGGCCCCUCUCUCGUCCCCACCAGUCGUAACUGUGAGGAAGAUGGAAGCGAGAGGAGGGCCCCCUCAGAGGAUCUUAGAGAUCGAGUAGGUUCAUAGGGGACGAUGCGGUCACGAAGAUAGGCAGGUCCCGAACCGUUUAGAGCUUUAUAGGUAAUAACCUGCACCUUGAAUUGGGCUUGGAAUAUUAUUGGCAGCCAGUGGAGCUGCUUGAACAGGGGGGUUGACCGCUCCCUAUAAGCAGCUCCAGUUAGUAACCUGGCUGCCGACUGUUGUACCAACUGCAAUUUCUGGACCGUCUUCAAGGGCAGCCCCACAUAGAGUGCAUUGCAGUAGUCCAUCCUUGAGGUAACUAGAGCGUGGACCACCAUGGUCAAGUCAGACUUCUCGAGGUAUGGUCGCAGUUGGUGCAUGAGUUUUAAUUGUGCAAAGGCCCUCCCGGCCACCGCCAACACCUGGGCAUCAGGCGACAGAGAUGAAUCCAGGAGGACCCCCAGACUGCGGACCUGUGCCUUCAGGGGGAGUGUGACCCCGUCAAGCACAGGUAGCCACCCUAUGCCCCGAUCGGUUGAACGACUGACCUAGAGAACCUCUGUCUUAUCAGGAUUAAGCUUCAACUUGUUGGCCCUCAUCCAACCCAUUACAGCGGCCAGACACUGGUCUAGGAUCCGAGGGCUUCCUUGGAAGUAGGUGGAAAGGAGUAGUGGAGUUGAGUGUCAUCUGCGUAGAGAUGGCACCGAACUCCAAAACCCCGGUUUCAUGUAGAUAUUGAAAAGCAUGGGGGAAAGAAUAGAACCUUGCGGGACCCCACAGGUCAAAGGCCAGGGGUCCAAGCAGGUAUCCCCCAGCUUCACCAUCUGGGUACAACCCUCCAAGAAGGAGUGGAGCCACUGUAGUACAUUGCCCCCAAGGCCCAUUCCCGAGAGCCGACCCAGAAGGAUACCAUGGUCGAUGGUAUCGAAAGCCACUGAGAUGUCUAAGAGAACCAACAGGGACACACUCCCCCUGUCAAGUUCUCUACGGAGGUCAUCCACCAAGGCGACCAAAAGCCAUCUCAGUCCCAUGACCAGGCCUGAAGCCAGACUGGAAUGGGUCAAUACACAUUUUGCAGGUGUUUGACUUCUGAGAAACAGAAUAGAUUCUUCAUUGCCUCAUGCAAUAUUAACAGUGUUUAUAACACCACUUUGGUUUCCCUAGCAAGACACUGUGAUCUCACAGAUCCAGAUGCAAUGACUCAUCCACAAUGUUGAGCAAGAAGAACUGCUGCAUCAUGAGAGGGAAGACUGCUUUCAAGCACCAAGCAGAAAAGCAGCAGAGACUGCCAAAACCUUUAUUGUUCUCAUCUUGCAAGCAUAUUUUAGGGAAUGUCAAAGACCAACCCAGCAAACUUUACAGAUUUGUUUAUUGUUUGGGACAAGUCUUUUUCCUCUGUUACUAUUUUUAAUUUUAAUUUUUUGGAAGGUCCUUAUUUUUCUGAGUUUACCACACAUUUUAUACCAGGCUCUUAUAGAAUCUGGAUAUUCUAGAUCAGUUUUGGACACAUGAGUUAUUCUAGGGUUUCAGUGGCCCGAAAAAGCCUUUUAGUGAUGUUUGUACAUUUUCCUCAAAAUAACCACCCAUGAUCUUUGCACAUUUUGUAUACAUAUAGAAAAUAAAUUGUUUAUGUCUCUAGGCUGCAUCAAACAUUAUUCUAGGAAAAACUGUUGCAAUAAUAUGCUAGGACAGUAACAAUUCCUAAUAUAGUCUUGUUGUAUAAAAGCUGUUCAGAUCAAAGGGUUUGUUUUGUUUUGUUUCAUUCUGUUUUAAUUGUAUAGCCAUCUCAGCUAGGGCUAAGUUAGGCUAGAAAUCUAAAUAAAUAAUAGUGCUUUAAUCAGAGAAACACAAAGAAUAUAACCAAAGCUGGAAAAUGGAAAUCACAAUUUUAAAAAGCCUACAUGGCUGGAAAAGCUGUGGACAUGAUUAAAAGUUCUCCAAGCAUACAAGAUUUGCCCAUUCUAUUAAUUUAGUGUUUGUCUAAUCAUGGAAGAAAAAAGGAAUAUCCCUUGAAAAAAACACUUUACAAAAUGAAGAAAAUGUUUAAUGUUACACCUUAGCCCGAUUCUAGCUUGUCACUCCGAAUUAUUCAUACAAACUUCAUAUUUUGGAAACCCACUUCAAAGCUUAGGUUUUAGAUAGAUUAAAGUUACAUUGAUCCAUGGAUUAAUCGACCCAUGUUUUGGGACCGAUUUUUGGACUAAAAUGUAUAGACUUAUACCUGAAUAUAUAGGGUAAGCUUUUGUGAAAACAGAUGAAGUAUUAUAUGGAACAUCAUAGACUUGUGGGUGUAGAGAGAAAAAUGUUAGCAGUUAGGUCAGAAGGAUAUACUAUACAAGAAAUAUGGCCUGUGAUAAUUGGCUCAAAGUUUAAAUAUAUCUUAAUUAUAAUAAGUAAUUACAAAAUAAUGACAAUACAAACAUCCUGGCAUUGAGCAUUAAUUAGCUAACAAUUAGUAGGAUGUUAUUGUCAACCGGUUGAUGAAUUGUCACUGUAAUUAUAUUUAUUAGCCUUUAAGAUGUCACAAGACUAGCCUAACAGACACACUAGUCUAACAGGCAAUGGUUCUUUCCUCCCACCCUGGACAUUCCACAUGUAUAGUUUAUAUACUCCACUUGUUUAACUACCAUUGGAUCCUCUGAAGAUGCCAGCCACAAAUGCAGGAGAAACAUCAGGAGAAAAUGCUGCUAGAACACGGCCAUACAACCCAGAAACCGCACAACACCCCACUGUCACCAGAUCUUUUUUGUGCAUGUUUGCGGUUACCUGCAAAGUGGCAAGUACAUAUUUGCUAUUAUACAAACAAACAAACAAACAUACUCAUAGGUUCUAUCCAAAGAGCUAUGCAGUGAGUUCCCCAUAUAUGUGCUUGAAGAGGAUAGUCUUCAUAUCAUAGUCCAAGUUGUUUCUAAAAGUAAGGAAUUUUUUAGACAUAAUUUCAAAAAUAACAUGAGAGCAUGUUGUUCACAGAAGUACUACUUUUUGUUGGAUGUUUCCAAACCAUGGAAUUGGUCAAACCAAAAUUGUCCUUUCUGAACACUAGUUUAAAUUUAUGCCUUUGAAGGUGAAAUAUUAUUCUUGAUUAGCAUUUACUAGGUUGCAAUUAUUUUGGCUCACUUUAGGGUUGACUCUACCAUGAGACAAGGUGAAGCAAUGGCCUUAGCCAGCAAGUAUUCCUUGGCUGUUACUCAUGAGACUCCCGCACACCAACUCCUAUUUUCCUCUGUUGGAGUUAUGCAUGCCAAAUAAGUUGCUGCCUUCCAAGUCUGAUGAAGGAUAUUAUCUGAUCAGCAAUGGAUGAAUAAAAUGGAUUUACCAGUCCCAGUUUGCUGGUAUAUAUGCUAUGGAGAUAGGGCAAUAUUUUUGCCUGAGGCAGAAAAAUUAGUUGAGCUGACUCGGAAUGUCCACAGCAAUGAGGUCUGAUAGCACACUGUGUACUACUACUUGUGAAGGGUCAGCUAAAUAAAUACAUUAAAAUCUUUUUGUCUGGAAA
Anolis carolinensis (green anole) is the source of this 6662-nucleotide long non-coding RNA. RefSeq lists it as uncharacterized. The record is from RefSeq and is a predicted model, not a curated record. NCBI's taxonomy places the organism in Eukaryota, Metazoa, Chordata, Lepidosauria, Squamata, Anolidae. The transcript has 2 exons.